CCUACGGGGGGCAGCAGUGAGGAAUAUUGGUCAAUGGACGCAAGUCUGAACCAGCCAAGCCGCGUGCAGGAUGACGGCCCUAUGAGUUGUAAACUUCUUUUGUAUGAGAGUAAACCCCGAUACGUGUACCGGGUUGAAAGUAUCGUACGAAUAAGGAUCGGCUAACUCCGUGCCAGCAGCCGCGGUAAUACGGAGGAUCCGAGCGUUAUCCGGAUUUAUUGGGUUUAAAGGGUGCGUAGGCGGUUGGUUAAGUUAGGGGUGAAAUGUCGGGGCUCAACCCCGAAACUGCCGUUAAUACUGUUUGACUUGAGAAGAGGUGAGGUAGGCGGAAUGGAUGGUGUAGCGGUGAAAUGCUUAGAUAUCAUGCAGAACACCGAUUGCGAAGGCAGCUUACCAAACUAUAACUGACGUUGAGGCACGAAAGCGUGGGUAGCAAACAGGAUUAGAUACCCCUGUAGUC
RNAcentral lists this ribosomal RNA (460 nucleotides) under uncultured bacterium. Its description in RNAcentral is "partial 16S ribosomal RNA". It matches the Rfam family "Bacterial small subunit ribosomal RNA", at positions 338 to 795 of the family's 1533-position model. The record is from RNAcentral.